UCUAGAACUCCAUCUAUGGGUAAACUUCUUAGCAGUGUUGGGCUGGAUUUCAGGACAGAUUAUGACUUCUCUUUUGUGGCCAAGCUUUGAAUUUGAAAACGACAGAUUUGGGUCUUCCACUCUUCAUGAAAGUUGUAGGCCUAUGUCUUAACUUUCAAGA
Populus trichocarpa (black cottonwood) is the source of this 160-nucleotide non-coding RNA. Lineage: Eukaryota; Viridiplantae; Streptophyta; Magnoliopsida; Malpighiales; Salicaceae. The record is from Rfam.